AUACGGAGGACGCGAGCGUUAUCCGGAUUCAUUGGGUUUAAAGGGUGCGCAGGCGGCCGUGCAAGUCAGCGGUGAAAGCCCGGGGCUCAACCCCGGAAGUGCCGUUGAUACUGCAUGGCUGGAAUGCGGUCGAGGCGGGCGGAACGUGGCGGGGAGCGGGGAAAUGCGUAGAUAUGGCACAGAACGCCGAUAGCGGAGGCAGCUGGCCAGGCCUGCAUUGACGCUCGGGCACGAAAGCGUGGGGAUCGAACAGGAUUAGAUACCCGGGUAGUCCACGCCGUAAACGAUGGGCGCUCGUCGUCGGCGGCAGACAGUCGGCGGCCAAGCGAAAGCGAUAAGCGCCCCACCUGGGGAGUACGGUCGCAAGGCUGAAACUCAAAUGAAUUGACGGGG
RNAcentral lists this ribosomal RNA (393 nucleotides) under uncultured bacterium. RNAcentral's name for it is "partial 16S ribosomal RNA". It matches the Rfam family "Bacterial small subunit ribosomal RNA", at positions 523 to 918 of the family's 1533-position model. The record is from RNAcentral.